This 172-nucleotide small RNA is filed under the name Chrysemys picta bellii (western painted turtle). RNAcentral's name for it is "TUC338 (ENSCPBG00000007509.1)". The record is from RNAcentral. Lineage: Eukaryota; Metazoa; Chordata; Testudines; Emydidae.
UUAGCAGCCUUGGAGGCCAGAGUCAUCUCUUUAUGCACAAAAUAGUUGCAGAAAUGAACAGUAGCAGUGCAGGCUUCUCCCCACUGCUCUGCUAAUGUACCUCAGAGUAGAAAUGAAUGAUUACUCAGAGACAGGGUAAUUUAGUUCCCCGUUCGUUAACUCUUUGGCUUCU